This 429-nucleotide ribosomal RNA is filed under the name Gemmatimonadota bacterium. RNAcentral's name for it is "Gemmatimonadetes bacterium partial 16S ribosomal RNA". It matches the Rfam family "Bacterial small subunit ribosomal RNA", at positions 355 to 776 of the family's 1533-position model. The record is from RNAcentral. Lineage: Bacteria; Pseudomonadati; Gemmatimonadota.
UAGGGAAUCUUCGGCAAUGGACGAAAGUCUGACCGAGCAACGCCGCGGGAGUGAAGAAGGCUUUCGGAUCGUAAAACUCUGUUGUUAGAGAAGAACAAGGACGUUAGUAACUGAACGUCCCCUGACGGUAUCUAACCAGAAAGCCACGGCUAACUACGUGCCAGCAGCCGCGGUAAUACGUAGGUGGCAUGCGUUGUCCGGAUUUAUUGGGCGUAAAGCGAGCGCAGGCGGGUUCUUAAGUCUGAUGUGAAAGCCCCCGGCUCAACCGGGGAGGGUCAUUGGAAACUGGGAGACUUGAGUGCAGAAGAGGAGAGUGGAAUUCCAUGUGUAGCGGUGAAAUGCGUAGAUAUAUGGAGAAACACCAGUGGCGAAGGCGGCUCUCUGGUCUGUAACUGACGCUGAGGCUCGAAAGCGUGGGGAGCAAACAGG